GUUUUUCCUCCAUCUGGAAAGAAUUUAUAAAAUGUUUAAUUUAUAAAUAGAUGGAAAUUAGUGGUAAAUAAGUGGAUCGUACUUCUGAGUCAAUUAGAAUGUAUGAUUAAAAAUAAAGUUUGACUAUUUAUAAAUGAUUUUUGAAAGUAGAAUAUUUGAUGGAAGGUCGGGGAAUCCUUUUGAGCAACCCGUUCUAAUAGGAAAGCCUAUAUUUUUCAGUGGUGGUUUACAAUCGGUUUAUGCACUAAUGAAGAUCUUUAUACUAGAGCUCAUUUUCUUUUAUUUCUUUCUACCAUAUCCUUACAACUGAAAUGGAAACCAAGCUUUUUGUUGUUCGAAAAUGUCGAAUCUCUUCUAAAUCAUUUGUCAUGAGUUUUAUAGACUAUGAUUCCAUACCCUACAAAUUAUCAAAUUCCUUUCCAGUUUUAGAGUUCUCAACAACAAAACACCCUCCCAAACCUCCAUUUUUCCUACUCGUUGCCCCCUAGUUUUGCCCUUCCUCUAAGAGGUUUUUGUGUAACAAGCGUGUAAUGUCCACUGAAAUGUCCAUGGGUUUUAUCAUCAACACAAUUCCAUGAUUUAUUAAGAAACUUGUAAAUUUUAUAACUAUACCAUGUUCAUAGUUCACAUAUUAACAUAAUAUAAUGUGUAAUACAGGGAUGAAAUCUCAACAAC
RNAcentral lists this long non-coding RNA (675 nucleotides) under Olea europaea subsp. europaea. The record is from RNAcentral. Lineage: Eukaryota; Viridiplantae; Streptophyta; Magnoliopsida; Lamiales; Oleaceae.